GACGAACCGAGCGAACGUUGUUCGGAAUCACUGGGCUUAAAGGGCGCGUAGGCGGGUAUUCAAGUCCGUGGUGAAAUCCGGCAGCUCAACUGUCGAAUUGCCGCGGAUACUGGGUAUCUCGAGGGAGGUAGGGGCACGCGGAACUAACGGUGGAGCGGUGAAAUGCGUUGAUAUCGUUAGGAACUCCGGUGGCGAAGGCGGCGUGCUGGACCUCUUCUGACGCUGAGGCGCGAAAGCCAGGGGAGCAAACGGG
RNAcentral lists this ribosomal RNA (253 nucleotides) under uncultured bacterium. Its description in RNAcentral is "partial 16S ribosomal RNA". It matches the Rfam family "Bacterial small subunit ribosomal RNA", at positions 524 to 776 of the family's 1533-position model. The record is from RNAcentral.